This 204-nucleotide ribosomal RNA is filed under the name uncultured bacterium. RNAcentral describes it as "partial 16S ribosomal RNA". It matches the Rfam family "Bacterial small subunit ribosomal RNA", at positions 1300 to 1500 of the family's 1533-position model. The record is from RNAcentral.
GUAGUCUGCAACUCGACUACAUGAAGCUGGAAUCGCUAGUAAUCGCGAAUCAGAAUGUCGCGGUGAAUACGUUCCCGGGUCUUGUACACACCGCCCGUCACACCAUGGGAGUCAGUAACGCCCGAAGUCAGUGACCCAACCGGAACCGGAGGGGAGCUGCCGAAGGUGGGACCGAUAACUGGGGUGAAGUCGUAACAAGGUACC